AGAGCUUGCUCUCUGGGUGACGAGCGGCGGACGGGUGAGUAAUGUCUGGGAAACUGCCUGAUGGAGGGGGAUAACUACUGGAAACGGUAGCUAAUACCGCAUAACGUCUACGGACCAAAGUGGGGGACCUUCGGGCCUCACGCCAUCAGAUGUGCCCAGAUGGGAUUAGCUAGUAGGUGGGGUAAUGGCUCACCUAGGCGACGAUCCCUAGCUGGUCUGAGAGGAUGACCAGCCACACUGGAACUGAGACACGGUCCAGACUCCUACGGGAGGCAGCAGUGGGGAAUAUUGCACAAUGGGCGCAAGCCUGAUGCAGCCAUGCCGCGUGUGUGAAGAAGGCCUUAGGGUUGUAAAGCACUUUCAGCGAGGAGGAAGGGUUCAGUGUUAAUAGCACUGUGCAUUGACGUUACUCGCAGAAGAAGCACCGGCUAACUCCGUGCCAGCAGCCGCGGUAAUACGGAGGGUGCAAGCGUUAAUCGGAAUUACUGGGCGUAAAGCGCACGCAGGCGGUUUGUUAAGUCAGAUGUGAAAUCCCCGCGCUUAACGUGGGAACUGCAUUUGAAACUGGCAAGCUAGAGUCUUGUAGAGGGGGGUAGAAUUCCA
This 603-nucleotide ribosomal RNA is filed under the name Serratia sp. (in: enterobacteria). Its description in RNAcentral is "bacterial SSU rRNA". It matches the Rfam family "Bacterial small subunit ribosomal RNA", at positions 75 to 671 of the family's 1533-position model. Lineage: Bacteria; Pseudomonadati; Pseudomonadota; Gammaproteobacteria; Enterobacterales; Yersiniaceae. The record is from RNAcentral.